Long non-coding RNA from Psammomys obesus (fat sand rat), 1267 nucleotides. RefSeq lists it as uncharacterized. The transcript is spliced from 3 exons. NCBI's taxonomy places the organism in Eukaryota, Metazoa, Chordata, Mammalia, Rodentia, Muridae. The record is from RefSeq and is a predicted model, not a curated record.
UAUCCUGGCUGGCUUGGGGUAGCCCUGCUAAUCUGUCCUGCCCAGAGGAAGCUGGCAGCCAUUGAAAAUUCAUAUAUGACCAGUACAUCUGAUCAGAGAAUGGACAUCCCAUCUGACCUGCUUGUGACCUCUGUCCUUUGCCUGUGACCACAUGUACCUUCUGAGGACAAACAGGCCCUGAGGAAAUGAGACAUUGAUUUCCAGCUGUGUAAGCGUAAUUUCUCUUCAUCUUUAAACAAUCAAUGCAACCACAGAUACAAGGGACAUUGCAGAGACAGAGGAGGUCUGUUUAUGGUCAUGCUGGUGGCAGAGUGGAAAGGAAUACACCCAUGUCCACACGCACCAUGGCUGAGGAUGGAGGGACAUGCUCUUCCCCCUCAUCAGCUCACCACCAACAGCCUGGUUAUUCCGCUUGGCUGUGAGCCAUCUUGGGGGAAGGAGUGCUGCCGCUUUGGGUGGAUUUCUGCGAGUUCAGAUUUCAGCUGGACCUUGCACAACAGGAUGGUGGGAAAGUCCCUGGGAGCACAAUGGUCAGUGGCCGCCUUAAGUGGUGGACUUCCAGUUGCGGUGGAUUGCCAGUUGCCGAUUGCCCUCAUUGUAGCCAGCUGCUUUGAAGCCUCCUGGAUGUCUUGGGGAACUGCACUGUGAUCAGCUGUUGGCUGCGGAAGGGUGGUGCUGGCUCCUGAGGCACAUCCCAGCCAGGGGUGGUUUCAAACAACUUGCCCAUCUCUAGCCUCUCUGAACUCUAGAUAACCCUGUAACCAUUUCCACCCACACCAGAGCGGAGCCUUUCCUUGGUGGGCUCCGGGCGAAGGGCUGUGCUUUAGUUGGUGCAAACGCAGCUCAUUUGCAUGGAGCUUUGCUUCUGAUUGGUGCUGGCAGCCUUGCCACACCCCCUUUCUGGAUAUAUAAGUCUGCCUUCAGGCUGCAUUCUUGAGUCAGCUGAGAGGCUGUGCGGAACUUGUGACCGAAACCAGCGAAAGACUAGUCCAGACCUGCAAGAAACAAUAAAGCAGAGCAAGUGGAGAGAUUAGAGGCUCUGAAGCCUCAAGAAGCAGGGUCCCAGCCUUUGAAACUCUGAGACGAACAAGGUUACCACAGCAAUGCAGAGCUGGACUGUUGGGGUUGUUACAGCCCAAGGCAGUGAGCCUCUAGCCUGAGCACCUGGAGCCCUGAGUCUCUGGCUUCUACACCUCCCCUCCAUCCCAACUUGCUUUGUAGCUCAGACUGGCUUCAGACUUGCCAUCCUCCUGCCUCAGCCUCCCGA